AUUGAACGCUGGCGGCAGGCCUAACACAUGCAAGUCGAGCGAGUGGCGGACGGGUGAGUAAUGUAUGGGGAACUGCCCGAUAGAGGGGGAUAACUACUGGAAACGGUAGCUAAUACCGCAUACCAUCGGAUGUGCCCAGAUGGGAUUAGCUAGUUGGUGGGGUAACGGCUCACCUAGGCGACGAUCCCUAGCUGGUCUGAGAGGAUGACCAGCCACACUGGAACUGAGACACGGCCCAGACUCCUACGGGAGGCAGCAGUGGGGAAUAUUGCACAAUGGGCGCAAGCCUGAUGCAGCCAUGCCGCGUGUAUGAAGAAGGCCUUCGGGUUGUAAAGUACUUUCAGCCGGGAGGCGUUACCUGCAGAAGAAGCACCGGCUAACUCCGUGCCAGCAGCCGCGGUAAUUC
RNAcentral lists this ribosomal RNA (406 nucleotides) under uncultured bacterium. RNAcentral's name for it is "partial 16S ribosomal RNA". It matches the Rfam family "Bacterial small subunit ribosomal RNA", at positions 30 to 526 of the family's 1533-position model. The record is from RNAcentral.